UAAUUAUCUUUCUCUGUCUUUUCUUCUCACAAUUUCUCUUCUCAACCUCACUCACUCUCUUCUCUUCUCCCACUCCAGAUUCUCCUCUCUCCCCUUUUUAGUUCACUAUUGCUGGGAAAUCAGCUGAUUAAUUCACCUCGGUGAAAUCAAAUAGAGAUGCGAGCGAUGGAGGCUGACAAGAGUGACAAGGAGGAAUCUCACGUUCUUGAGCUCAAUAUCAUCUCGGCGCAAGGACUCAAAGAACCGACGGGAUUGCAGACUUUGUCGAUUCCUCCAACAAGCUCCGUACUUGGAUUGAUCGUAUCAAAAAAUUCUGAUCCGUAGCACUCUUCGGGAAAACCCCGUCUCUCCGGACGCCGAAAGUCCCGUUCUACUGAUCAGUGAAGAUUCUGCUGCACUUGAAUUAGUUUUGGAAAAUGCAUUGACGCCGUCUCUAGCAUCUCCGAUUCACUGGAGGUUGCUAUGUUAAUGCUUAUCCUCAUAUUUGCGACGGUACAUAGUGGUUUAGCUAGUCUCAGGGAUAUAGGAGAUAAACUCAUAGUUCAACGAGCAUUUUGUGUUCUAUUUGCUGGUAUCUCUGUUCCUUUAGCUAUUGUGAGUACGCUCUUUCUCUGGAAUUAUGUCUCUAUGUUAAUGGAAAAAAAAGACUUGUCUGAGUUUUUCGAAAUCAAUGCAAUGCCUUCUUCUACUUUCAGGUUUUCUUUAUAAACCAUAGAUACGACGGGUCACAGUUAUGGUAGCUUCAGGUUAUUCUAGGAUAUUAGAGUGAAAGAAGGAAAGGAGAGGUGAGGCCGAAGUCAACAAGACAAGGCCGAUCAUCUCCAAGUCAAAGAAGAGGAAGAAGAGGAGUGUCAAGGCCAAUGACAUCAAGACAAGGCCGAAGACAACUCCAAGAUCUCUCAAAGAAGAUAAAAAGAAGACAAGGCUGAAGAAGCUAUUGAACAAGUCUAGCCUCGGCCUAAAGAAGAAGAAGAACUGUACGGCUAAGUCAACUACAAGAGGUGUCCGUACAAGUCUAAGAUUGUAUAAGGCCGAGGCCCAUUAGAUAAGAAGAAGAAGAGGACGCCAAUAAAGCCUAAAGAAUGCAAGGAAUAAGGCCCAUAAGUGACAAGAAGAGGAGGGAAACGAAUUCAAAUUCAAGUCUGCUCUCACAUGUGACCGUUUAUGAGCUGUCACUUUCAGCUCUUAACAAGACAAAAACGCUCGUCUCUUUAUGUCAUUCUCAGUCUUGGCUCAUGUGUUAGGGCUUCCUCUCUUCCUUUCUCUCUAUAAAAAGAGAUGUAACCGAGCUUGUAAAUGUUACACAGAAUCAAUGAAGUGAUUUCUCUCUUUUAUCUUGUUCUUCAUUCUAUUUCGCAAUGUAGAGUCCUUAGAGAAAAUCGUUUGUAGUGAUUGCCCUUAAGGCAGCCUUAUCACUUCAUAAACACUCACUUAACUCUUCUUUAUUUGCUUCUCUCAUCUAGAUUACUGAGUCUUGCAUCUCAAGAACACAAACUCUCUAUGUGUUGUGUUCAUUGCUUAGAUUAGUCUCAAACUAGAUGCUUUCCCUUUAUAGAAUCGUUUUCUUCCUCAUAGAUUCGGUUCUACUUAUGUUUAUUGUGUGGAUUCCAUCACAAGUUGAUGGUCUCUUCUCUCUCUUGAGAUCGAGUUUAUUUUGUGUGGGUUAAGUGGUUUCAUUCACCAAGUGAAUGCUUCCACCAUUUGUUGAGCUUUGUCUCAUAAAUCCCAACAUGGUAUCAGAGCCAUCUUUCUUGGUUCCAUCUAAAACUCGAUUCUCUUUCUGUUUCUGUUUUUUUUUGUGUUUUGUGUUCUUCACUUAGUCCAAUGACUUUUCACGAGGACAAAGGUGGAGUUCUCUUUCUGAUUUAUUUUCUCUUAUUUGUGAAAGCUUGAAUCUGGUAUUGACUUGUGACCAAAAGAACAAGCUUGACAAAAAGAGAAAUAGAUCUUUAAAAAAACUGGUGGAAAAAUUGUUUUUAACCAUCAGUGUUUGUUUUUUUCUAAACCAUGAGAAGCACUAAGCAUUGUGUAAUUUUUGUGGUCGUUUUUAUUUAUUAAAAUUCUCAUGGGAAGCUCGUGUAAAUGGGUUUUUCCUUGAGUUCUUGUGUUAAUUGAUGGAGAAAUUAAUUUUCCAAUCAGUUUAUCUUGUUCCAGCCAUUAAAACUCCAUAGUCUUGGGAUUCUUGGUGUUUUUGGCUGGCAUUUGCUUUGGCUUAACUCAAGAAAACAGAGAAAAACUCUUGAGCAAAAUUUCUUUUCCCAUUCUCCUUUGCUUCCGCUUAUUCUCUAUUCUCCAUUCUCUCAUUCUCUUUAUUCUUCCCAAUAUUCUCUUUAUUCUCCAUUAUUCUCCUUAUUCUCCAAAUUCUCUUUUAUUCUUCUGCUUAUUCUCUAUACUCUAACAAAUACAAUCUCUUGUUUUAGAAUCUGUCUUCAAAUUUAAACAGGUUCGGGUCUUAAAAAGGAUGGUGUUUGGCUCGUUUGCUAUCUCAAGAAGAAGUGGCGAGUUUGAGAGGUCUGAAUGGGUCAUGUGAGCUGGAAGUCAGCUGGUGGCUGUAUUCAGAUCCAUUAAGGCUUCAAAGAAGCCAAAAGAAGGCGCAGCAACAAGCUUAGAAUUGAUCAAGAGGGCCAUCAAGUUUCAGAGACCACAAGACAAGCCCAACCUAGUUUAACCUGGCUGACUUGAAGAUGGCAGACCAAAGAGGCUGACCUGAAGAUAGCAGACCCAAGGUGGCUAAGGUGGAAGUUCAAGUGGAGAAACAAGCUGAUGGAAGGCUAUGAAUCAAUUCCAAAGUCUUUGCGAGUGCCUUUGGUUUAAGAGCUGAAGAUCGGAUGUGCACAAGAUGUCAAGAUCUAUUUUGCACAUAAUUUCAAGGCUCAAGACAUGUUUAGUGUGCGGGGGAGCUUAAUUGGUGACCAAACCGCAUUUCAAAGUCCUCACAUUCCUCUUCAUAUAAAUCAGACUAAACUCUAAACUCUAUCCCAUUUUUUAAUUUGCCUUUAUUUCAUUCCCUUAAGUUCAUUUGCGGAUUCUUUCUAUGAAUUGCUUAGUCUAUUGUACAUCUUUUAUUCUUGAUAUUCCUCAUAGGAUUUGAAGUUCCUCAUUUGGUUAUUUGUUUCUUUGAUAUUCCUUAUGGCAUUACUUAAUCUUUUCUUCUUUAUCUCUUGUUUAAGGGAAAAAGGAGACCAUAAGAGCCUCAAAGAGACCAAAGAAAGCUUCAAAUGCUGGAGAGCCUCAAAGGAGAUGACAAAGAACGGAUUCAUGCGAAGAGAGUUCAAGGCAAGAAGAGCUAAAGGAAUGGAAACACUUGGGAGAGGAGCCGGUUCAAAAGCAAAUUCAAACCAAGGCCAUAGCUACAUCAAGCAACCGCUAAACUAUACUCUUUUUCCCUUCAUAAAGUUUUAUCCCAAGAGGUUUUCUUUAUGAAGGUUUUUUAAUGAGGUAGUUUGGCGUGUUGCAAGCUUGGCCUCUGGUCCUCUUUGGCGUCUCGACGACCAAGCUUGCGGGGGAGUAUUAGAGUGAAAGAAGGAAAGGAGAGGUGAGGCCGAAGUCAACAAGACAAGGCCGAUCAUCUCCAAGUCAAAGAAGAGGAAGAAGAGGAGUGUCAAGGCCAAUGACAUCAAGACAAGGCCGAAGACAACUCCAAGAUCUCUCAAAGAAGAUAAAAAGAAGACAAGACAAGGCUGAAGAAGCUAUUGAUCAAGUCUAGCCUCGGCCUAAAGAAGAAGAAGAACUGUACGGCCAAGUCAACUCCAAGAGGUGUCCGUACAAGUCUAAGGUUGUGUAAGGCCGAGGCCCAUUAGAUAAGAAGAAGAAGAGGACGCCAAGAAAGCCUAAAGAAUGCAAGGAAUAAGGCCCAUAAGUGACAAGAAGAGGAGGGAAACGAAUUCAAAUUCAAGUCUGCUCUCACAUGUGACUAAAGUCACAUGUGACCGUUUAUGAGCUGUCACUUUCAGCUCUUAACAAGACAAAAACGCUCUCUUUAUGUCACUCUCAGUCUUGGCUCAUGUGUUAGGGCUUCCUCUCUUCCUUUCUCUCUAUAAAAAGAGAUGUAACCGAGCUUGUAAAUGUUACGCAGAAUCAAUGAAGUGAUUUCUCUCUUUUAUCUUGUUCUUCAUUCUAUUUCGCAAUGUAGAGUCCUUAGAGAAAAUCGUUUGUAGUGACUGCCCUUAAGGCAGCCUUAUCACUUCAUAAACACUCACUAAACUCUUCUUUAUUUGCUUCUCUCAUUUAGAUUACUGAGUCUUAAAUCCGCUGCAUCUCAAGAACACAAACUCUCUAUGUAUUGUGUUCAUUGCUUAGAUUAGUCUCAAACUAGAUGCUUUCCCUUUAUAGAAUCGUUUUCUUCCUCAUAGAUUCGGUUCUACUUAUGUUUAUUGUGUGGAUUCCAUCACAAGUUGAUGGUCUCUUCUCUCUCUUGAGAUCGAGUUUAUUUUGUGCGGGUUAAGUGGUUUCAUUCACCAAGUGAAUGCUUCCACCAUUUGUUGAGCUUUGUCUCAUAAAUCCCAACAUAGGAGUCCAUGAAGCUGUUUAGAAAGCUAAUUUUGUGUCCUUCUUCUUUCUCUAUCCUUCAACCUGCAAUCUUCUGGAGGUAGCAGCUGUUGAUAAACCAAAGAUGCAUCUGUGGGACACAGACAUCAUGAGAAUCACUCGACACCCUCAGGUAUUGAAACAUUUCCUUAGUCAGCUAUCAUGAGAAUCUUCUCUAGAUGGUUGGAUAAAUCGUUUGGUGUUUGGCACAUAUACCCUGGAUUGGAAACACAGUAACUGCAUCAGCUUCUCUCGGUUUGAUUGCACAACAUUUGUUUGGGGCUUGGAAUGAAGACAUGAGAUUAGGUAAAAGAUACGGAGAGGGUUUUGAAGGCAUCAAGAAGAGAACAAGUGUAGUUCCUUUUGCUGCCAUUUUUAAAGGACGCCAAGUUUUGCUUGAGGAUUACUACAAAGAAUUAAUGUAAGGUAGAUUACCAGAGUUUGUAAGUUCUUUGGUGAGAUGUUAUCUUGGAUGUUUUGUUUUA
Molecule: long non-coding RNA, 5012 nt
Organism: Eutrema salsugineum
Lineage: Eukaryota; Viridiplantae; Streptophyta; Magnoliopsida; Brassicales; Brassicaceae
Exons: 3
Source: RefSeq, a predicted model, not a curated record